Molecule: ribosomal RNA, 585 nt
Filed under: uncultured bacterium
Lineage: Bacteria
Description: partial 16S ribosomal RNA
Rfam family: Bacterial small subunit ribosomal RNA
Source: RNAcentral
UGGGGAAUUUUGGACAAUGGGCGAAAGCCUGAUCCAGCAAUGCCGCGUGUGUGAAGAAGGCCUUCGGGUUGUAAAGCACUUUUGUCCGGAAAGAAAUCCUUGGCUCUAAUACAGUCGGGGGAUGACGGUACCGGAAGAAUAAGCACCGGCUAACUACGUGCCAGCAGCCGCGGUAAUACGUAGGGUGCAAGCGCUAAUCGGAAUUACUGGGCGUAAAGCGUGCGCAGGCGGUUUGCUAAGACCGAUGUGAAAUCCCCGGGCUCAACCUGGGAACUGCAUUGGUGACUGGCAGGCUAGAGUAUGGCAGAGGGGGGUAGAAUUCCACGUGUAGCAGUGAAAUGCGUAGAGAUGUGGAGGAAUACCGAUGGCGAAGGCAGCCCCCUGGGCCAAUACUGACGCUCAUGCACGAAAGCGUGGGGAGCAAACAGGAUUAGAUACCCUGGUAGUCCACGCCCUAAACGAUGUCAACUAGUUGUUGGGGAUUCAUUUCCUUAGUAACGUAGCUAACGCGUGAAGUUGACCGCCUGGGGAGUACGGUCGCAAGAUUAAAACUCAAAGGAAUUGACGGGGUCAUAGCUGUUUCCU